CAGUCGCCACGGUAAUACGAAGGGGGCUAGCGUUGUUCGGAAUUACUGGGCGUAAAGCGCACGUAGGCGGACAUUUAAGUCAGGGGUGAAAUCCCGGGGCUCAACCCCGGAACUGCCUUUGAUACUGGGUGUCUAGAGUAUGGAAGAGGUGAGUGGAAUUCCGAGUGUAGAGGUGAAAUUCGUAGAUAUUCGGAGGAACACCAGUGGCGAAGGCGGCUCACUGGUCCAUUACUGACGCUGAGGUGCGAAAGCGUGGGGAGCAAACAGGAUUAGAGACCCCCGUAGUCCCUGUCUCUUAUAC
RNAcentral lists this ribosomal RNA (301 nucleotides) under uncultured bacterium. RNAcentral describes it as "partial 16S ribosomal RNA". It matches the Rfam family "Bacterial small subunit ribosomal RNA", at positions 509 to 807 of the family's 1533-position model. The record is from RNAcentral.